CAAUAGCGUAUAUUAACGUUGUUGCAGUUAAAAAGCUCGUAGUUGGAUCUCUGGAGGGAGCGUCGGCCCGUAUUUACGAGUGCGUGACGUCUCUGUCCAUCCUUGCGGGAAGGCACGGCAUUGAUUUGUUGUGUCGGAUCGCAUCAUUUACUGUGAAAAAAUUAGAGUGUUCAAAGCAGGCUUUCGCUUGAAUACAUUAGCAUGGAAUAAUAAGAUAGGACUUUGGUGCUAUUUUGUUGGUUGAGCCUAAGGUAAUGAUUAAUAGGGAUAGUUGGGGGCACCUGUAUUGCGUUGUCAGAGGUGAAAUUCUUGGAUUUACGCAAGACAAACAGCUGCGAAAGCGUCUGCCAAGGAUGUUUUCAUUAA
RNAcentral lists this ribosomal RNA (366 nucleotides) under uncultured eukaryote. Its description in RNAcentral is "partial 18S ribosomal RNA". It matches the Rfam family "Eukaryotic small subunit ribosomal RNA", at positions 592 to 976 of the family's 1831-position model. The record is from RNAcentral.